This 288-nucleotide long non-coding RNA is filed under the name Ananas comosus (pineapple). Its description in RNAcentral is "long non-coding RNA (ACOM_LNC008244)". The record is from RNAcentral. Lineage: Eukaryota; Viridiplantae; Streptophyta; Magnoliopsida; Poales; Bromeliaceae.
ACUUUAUUUUCAACAAAAAAAGCACUCCAAUAAUUAACUGAUGGAGGAGUCCGGCUACUAUACUUUUAUGAGUAUUAGUUUUUUUAUAUUCAUAAGUUUUCGGUUCUUAGAUUUAUUCUAUUGAUCAUUUGCACCCGUUAGAUCAUACUAUUCAACCAACUAACCACUCAACCCUAGGAGACCAUUAUCAUUUUAAGUGGGGACCACCAUCAUCCUAACCACACAUUCUAUCGAUCAAAAGUUAGAAAUUUAUGAGUAGAAGGGGGUCUAUACUCAUAAGAGUAUAGC